UACGUAGGUGGCAAGCGUUGUCCGGAAUUACUGGGUGUAAAGGGUGAGUAGGCGGCAUGGUAAGCCAGAUGUGAAAGCCUUGGGCUUAACCCGAGGAUUGCAUUUGGAACUAUCAAGCUAGAGUACAGGAGAGGAAAGCGGAAUUCCUAGUGUAGCGGUGAAAUGCGUAGAUAUUAGGAAGAACACCAGUGGCGAAGGCGGCUUUCUGGACUGAAACUGACGCUGAGGCACGAAAGCGUGGGGAGCGAACGGG
Molecule: ribosomal RNA, 253 nt
Filed under: uncultured bacterium
Lineage: Bacteria
Description: partial 16S ribosomal RNA
Rfam family: Bacterial small subunit ribosomal RNA
Source: RNAcentral